This 527-nucleotide ribosomal RNA is filed under the name uncultured bacterium. RNAcentral's name for it is "bacterial SSU rRNA". It matches the Rfam family "Bacterial small subunit ribosomal RNA", at positions 28 to 526 of the family's 1533-position model. The record is from RNAcentral.
GACGAACGCUGGCGGCGUGCCUAAUACAUGCAAGUUGAACGCUAAAGCUUUAACUGGUGCUUGCACCGACCUAAGUUUUUAGAGUAGCGGACGGGUGAGUAACACGUGGGUAACCUGCCCAUCAGAGGGGGAUAACACUUGGAAACAGGUGCUAAUACCGCAUAAUUCCUUUUACCGCAUGGUAAAAGGCUGAAAGGCGCUUCUGGUGUCACUGAUGGAUGGACCCGCGGUGCAUUAGCUAGUCGGUGGGGUAACGGCCUACCGAGGCAAUGAUGCAUAGCCGACCUGAGAGGGUGAUCGGCCACAUUGGGACUGAGACACGGCCCAAACUCCUACGGGAGGCAGCAGUAGGGAAUCUUCGGCAAUGGACGAAAGUCUGACCGAGCAACGCCGCGUGAGUGAAGAAGGUUUUCGGAUUGUAAAGCACUUUAAGUUGGGAGGAAGGGCAGUAAAUUAAUACUUUGCUGUUUUGACGUUACCGACAGAAUAAGCACCGGCUAACUCUGUGCCAGCAGCCGCCGUAACAC